RNAcentral lists this ribosomal RNA (210 nucleotides) under uncultured bacterium. RNAcentral's name for it is "partial 16S ribosomal RNA". It matches the Rfam family "Bacterial small subunit ribosomal RNA", at positions 8 to 198 of the family's 1533-position model. The record is from RNAcentral.
AGAGUUUGAUCAUGGCUCAGGAUGAACGCUGGCGGCGUGCUUAACACAUGCAAGUCGAGCGAAGCACUUAGGAGGAAGUUUUCGGACGGAAUCUUAUUUGACUGAGCGGCGGACGGGUGAGUAACGCGUGGGGAACCUGUCCUAUACAGGGGGAUAACAGUUAGAAAUGACUGCUAAUACCGCAUAAGUGCUCAGGACGGCAUCGUCCGG